AACAUACCUUUUGCAUAAUGGUGAUACUAAAAUCCAAUUUAUAGUUAAACUUCCCGAAAAUAAUAAGAUCUACUUAGAUUUUAUACUUGUUAGGGUUAAUGUUAAUGUGGCAUAAUUAAAAUAAAAUAAUUAAGUAGUGGUGAAACGCCUGCCAAUUAUAUUGAUAACUGGAUUAAAAGAAAAUAUAUUUAGUAUAAAAGACAAUUUUAAAGCGAUAAGGUUUUAAAAAAAUUGAAUGGAAUUUAAUAAUGAAAUAUUAUCUAGUAAAACUAAUCAAUAUAUCAAUCAAUCCAAAAUUAAACUGUAGUUACAUCAAAAAUGUACCUUUUAUAUGCUAUGAAAUAAAGACUUACCAUUAAUAAUGUAUCAAUCAGUAAAUAUAAUAAAAUAUAAUUAAGGAACUCGACAAAUAUUUUGUACGCCUGUUUAUCAAAAACAUAACCAUAAGCAAAUUUUUAUGGUGCCGUCCGCCCAGUGAUAAUUUUAACGGCCGCAGUACUUUGACUGUGCAAAGGUAGCAUAAUAACUUGGCUUUUAAUUGGAGUCUGGAAUGAGAGAAUAAACGUAUAAAUUUUGUCUCAAAUUGUAUUGUCUUGAAGUUAUUUAGGAAGUGAAAAUACUUCUAAUUUUAAUAUUAGACGAGAAGACCCUUAGAAUUUUUACUAGUUAUGUAAUCAGUUUAUAUACAACGUUUUAGUUGGGGCAACUCUAUUUCAUAUCUAAUAAAUAGUAACAUUAAAUUUUUGUACCGAUUGUAAUAUAUAAAACUAAAUUACCUAAGGGAUAACAGCAUAAUUUUAUUAACUAAGAUUGUGACCUCGAUGUUGGACUAGGUAGUGCUAAAGCUAAACGUUUUAUCAUAUAGGUUCUGUUCGAACUUCUUCACCUACAUGAUCUGAGUUCAGACCGGCGUAAGCCAGGUCAGUUUCUAUCUUUUAUAUUGUAUAGAAUAGUACGAA
RNAcentral lists this ribosomal RNA (959 nucleotides) under Agathylla neutra. RNAcentral describes it as "partial 16S large subunit ribosomal RNA". The record is from RNAcentral. Lineage: Eukaryota; Metazoa; Mollusca; Gastropoda; Stylommatophora; Clausiliidae.